Halocaridina rubra (Hawaiian volcano shrimp) is the source of this 81-nucleotide non-coding RNA. Lineage: Eukaryota; Metazoa; Arthropoda; Malacostraca; Decapoda; Atyidae. The record is from the annotation of a GenBank genome assembly.
ACCGUGGUAGCUCAGUGGUAAAGCGUGCUCGUUGGGAGGUAGCAGACCUGACUAAUACUGGUUCGAUCCCGCCGCAUGGUA